This is a non-coding RNA of Otolemur garnettii (small-eared galago), 165 nucleotides long. Lineage: Eukaryota; Metazoa; Chordata; Mammalia; Primates; Galagidae. The record is from Rfam.
AAGGUGCAUUGUUAGAGCUUGGAGUUUAGGCCACUGAUUGGCUGGUGAACUCACAAGUGUAGGCAAGUUUUUCACUAACUUGAAAGUGAGAGGCAAGUUUUUCACUAACAGCACAAGGGUCUCUGGUCCAAUGAGUGGAGUUUGAUAGUAAUCCCUGCUACAAGU